RNAcentral lists this ribosomal RNA (450 nucleotides) under uncultured bacterium. Its description in RNAcentral is "partial 16S ribosomal RNA". It matches the Rfam family "Bacterial small subunit ribosomal RNA", at positions 354 to 796 of the family's 1533-position model. The record is from RNAcentral.
GUGGGGAAUUUUGGACAAUGGGCGCAAGCCUGAUCCAGCCAUGCCGCGUGUGUGAAGAAGGUCUUCGGAUUGUAAAGCACUUUAAGUUGGGAGGAAGGGCAGUAAGUUAAUACCUUGCUGUUUUGACGUUACCGACAGAAUAAGCACCGGCUAACUUCGUGCCAGCAGCCGCGGUAAUACGAAGGGUGCAAGCGUUAAUCGGAAUUACUGGGCGUAAAGCGCGCGUAGGUGGUUUUGUAAGUUGGAGGUGAAAUCCCCGGGCUCAACCUGGGAACUGCCUCCAAAACUGCAUGACUAGAGUACGGUAGAGGGUAGUGGAAUUUCCUGUGUAGCGGUGAAAUGCGUAGAUAUAGGAAGGAACACCAGUGGCGAAGGCGACUACCUGGACUGAUACUGACACUGAGGUGCGAAAGCGUGGGGAGCAAACAGGAUUAGAAACCCGAGUAGUCC